This is a long non-coding RNA of Prunus dulcis (almond), 1249 nucleotides long. RefSeq lists it as uncharacterized. The record is from RefSeq and is a predicted model, not a curated record. NCBI's taxonomy places the organism in Eukaryota, Viridiplantae, Streptophyta, Magnoliopsida, Rosales, Rosaceae. The transcript is spliced from 3 exons.
UUUUAAAACCUUUUAAAAUUCCAACAGAUUAUGCCGUAUGUAACCUGCCAAAAAAGAAAGUAUUCAAACGGAUUUCAUCUUGGGUGUCAAAUCGGAUUAAUAUAGCUUUAAACCCUUGUUCUGGAAUUUUAUAGUAUUAACUUCUUCUUCUUUUUUUCCCAAAAUCAAAAUUUAUUAUUAAAGUCGAACACUUACAUUGGCCUCGCAUGCCAGAGUAUUAAACAACCAUUUAGGGGGAAUAAAGUCCCACCAAAACAGACCCCCAUUCCUACAGGCAAAAGCAUACGUAAAAGUCACCUCUUGGAGUUCUCUUGUCACAGCAUGGAUAUCGAAGAGUAAACCUUCCACCUCCGCAUCCACCACUCGAUUGGUUAUAUGUUCUGUAAUUUCAACUUGCGACUUAUCAGUUUGUUACUGUCAGCAAAAUGCAAGUAUUGCCCCUUAGCUGGGAAAUGUUGAGAUUGAUCAGAAUAACUUUAUUUGUUGACUUCUGUUACUUUUCCUGCCACAAUUUUUUAUUAGGACAAUCCAAAUAACGAGAAAUGUUUGGUUCCAUUACUGAUCGACUCCAAUGCUGAGUUUUCAAGUUUUCACGUGACACAUUAGAACAAGUUUGCAAUAAUUGAGGCUAAAUCUCUUGCUUGCUUCCCAGGCCCCCAUGUUAAAGCUCAGAAACACCAUGUUGAAAAUGAGCGAAAAAUGCUUGAGCGUUUUGGGUAAGUAUCCAGAAGGUGAUCAGAUUAGGUAUUGAAGAAAGAAAUAGAUCUAUACAAGCUCCGGUGGUAUGGCUAUUGCAUGUUCAGAGCCCUUGCAUGCUUGCACAAGCAGAUAAUAUCACUACAGUUGUGCACAGAGAUGGUUACAGGGUGUGAUGCACAGAGAUGUUAAGCCUGGAAACUUCCUCUUCUCUCGUAAGCUAAACAAAGGCUAUCACAUUGAUUUCAACCUUGCCAUGGAUUUACAGAAAAAGUGCACAAUUGGAAGUAAUUUGGUCUUUUAAUUCUCAGCUAUUAUUUAGCUUUUAUAAUGUACUGCCUGCAUCCUAUCUCGUUGCGAUAGUGAUUACUCUCUGGUCUGGGAAGUGCAAAUCAAUGGCAUAAACUUUGAUUGUUGACUGAGUCACUGACCAUGUUUCCCAAUUGUUUCGAUGUGCUUCCUUCCCCCACCACCCCACAUCUGCCUAGAACCCGAAUUAUCUAUAUUCUAUAUAAAUAACAAAGUUAAAAAGAAAAAAAGAUUUACAACUUUC